AGAGUUUGAUCCUGGCUCAGGAUGAACGCUGGCGGCGUGCUUAACACAUGCAAGUCGAACGAACCUUCGGGUUAGUGGCGGACGGGUGAGUAACGCGUGAGAAUCUGCCCUCAGGAGGGGGAUAACGGCUGGAAACGGCCGCUAAUACCCCAUAUGCCGAGAGGUGAAAUGAAUUUCGCCUGAGGAUGAGCUCGCGUCUGAUUAGCUAGUUGGUAAGGUAAGAGCUUACCAAGGCAUCGAUCAGUAGCUGGUCUGAGAGGAUGAUCAGCCACACUGGGACUGAGACACGGCCCAGACUCCUACGGGAGGCAGCAGUGGGGAAUUUUCCGCAAUGGGCGAAAGCCUGACGGAGCAACGCCGCGUGAGGGAUGAAGGCCUCUGGGCUGUAAACCUCUUUUCUCAAGGAAGAAGACAUGACGGUACUUGAGGAAUAAGCCACGGCUAAUUCCGUGCCAGCAGCCGCGGUAAUACGGGAGUGGCAAGCGUUAUCCGGAAUUAUUGGGCGUAAAGCGUCCGCAGGCGGCCUUUUAAGUCUGUUGUUAAAGCGUGGAGCUCAACUCCAUUUCGGCAAUGGAAACUGGAAGGCUGGAGUGUGGUAGGGGCAGAGGGAAUUCCCGGUGUAGCGGUGAAAUGCGUAGAUAUCGGGAAGAACACCAGUGGCGAAGGCGCUCUGCUGGGCCAUAACUGACGCUCAUGGACGAAAGCCAGGGGAGCGAAAGGGAUUAGAUACCCCUGUAGUCCUGGCCGUAAACGAUGAGCACUAGGUGUCGGGGGAAUCGACCCCCUCGGUGUCGUAGCCAACGCGUUAAGUGUUCCGCCUGGGGAGUACGCACGCAAGUGUGAAACUCAAAGGAAUUGACGGGGGCCCGCACAAGCGGUGGAGUAUGUGGUUUAAUUCGAUGCAACGCGAAGAACCUUACCAGGGUUUGACAUCCUGCGAAUCCCUUGGAAACUUGGGAGUGCCUUCGGGAGCGCAGAGACAGGUGGUGCAUGGCUGUCGUCAGCUCGUGUCGUGAGAUGUUGGGUUAAGUCCCGCAACGAGCGCAACCCACGUCUUUAGUUGCCAGCAUUUAGUUGGGCACUCUAGAGAGACCGCCGGUGAUAAACCGGAGGAAGGUGUGGAUGACGUCAAGUCAUCAUGCCCCUUACAUCCUGGGCUACACACGUACUACAAUGCUACGGACAAAGGGCAGCAAACUCGCGAGAGCUAGCAAAUCCCAUAAACCGUGGCUCAGUUCAGAUCGUAGGCUGCAACUCGCCUACGUGAAGGAGGAAUCGCUAGUAAUCGCAGGUCAGCAUACUGCGGUGAAUACGUUCCCGGGCC
This 1324-nucleotide ribosomal RNA is filed under the name metagenome. RNAcentral's name for it is "bacterial SSU rRNA". It matches the Rfam family "Bacterial small subunit ribosomal RNA", at positions 8 to 1380 of the family's 1533-position model. The record is from RNAcentral.